Molecule: ribosomal RNA, 502 nt
Filed under: uncultured bacterium
Lineage: Bacteria
Description: partial 16S ribosomal RNA
Rfam family: Bacterial small subunit ribosomal RNA
Source: RNAcentral
GAUUAACGCUGGCGGCGUGCCUAACACAUGCAAGUCGAGCGGCAGCGAGUUUUACACUGAAUUCUGGAAGCUUCUAGUUGCAAGAGAAGAUUUAUUCAAGAAUUUUGUGUAAAAUGUCGGCGAGCGGCGGACGGCUGAGUAACGCGUGGGAACGUACCCCCAAGUGAGGGAUAACGCAUCGAAAGGUGUGCUAAUACCGCAUAUGGUCUUCGGAUUAAAGCCUUCGGGCGCUUUGGGAACGGCCUGCGUAAGAUUAGAUAGUUGGUGGGGUAAUGGCCUACCAAGUCGACGAUCUUUAACUGGUUUGAGAGGAUGAUCAGUCAGACUGGAACUGAGACACGGUCCAGACUCCUACGGGAGGCAGCAGUGAGGAAUCUUCCACAAUGGGCGAAAGCCUGAUGGAGCAACGCCGCGUGCAGGAUGAAGGCCUUCGGGUUGUAAACUGCUUUUAUAAGUGAGGAUUAUGACAGUAACUUAUGAAUAAGGAUCGGCUAACUACGUG